AGAGUUUGAUCCUGGCUCAGAUUGAACGCUGGCGGCAGGCCUAACACAUGCAAGUCGAGCGGAUGAAGGAGCUUGCUCCUGGAUUCAGCGGCGGACGGGUGAGUAAUGCCUAGGAAUCUGCCUGGUAGUGGGGGACAACGUUUCGAAAGGAACGCUAAUACCGCAUACGUCCUACGGGAGAAAGCAGGGGACCUUCGGGCCUUGCGCUAUCAGAUGAGCCUAGGUCGGAUUAGCUAGUUGGUGAGGUAAUGGCUCACCAAGGCGACGAUCCGUAACUGGUCUGAGAGGAUGAUCAGUCACACUGGAACUGAGACACGGUCCAGAUCCUACGGGAGGCAGCAGUGGGGAAUAUUGGACAAUGGGCGAAAGCCUGAUCCAGCCAUGCCGCGUGUGUGAAGAAGGUCUUCGGAUUGUAAAGCACUUUAAGUUGGGAGGAAGGGUUGUAGAUUAAUACUCUGCAAUUUUGACGUUACCGACAGAAUAAGCACCGGCUAACUCUGUGCCAGCAGCCGCGGUAAUACAGAGGGUGCAAGCGUUAAUCGGAAUUACUGGGCGUAAAGCGCGCGUAGGUGGUUUGUUAAGUUGGAUGUGAAAUCCCCGGGCUCAACCUGGGAACUGCAUCCAAAACUGGCAAGCUAGAGUAUGGUAGAGGGUGGUGGAAUUUCCUGUGUAGCGGUAAAUGCGUAGAUAUAGGAAGGAACACCAGGCGAAGGCGACCAC
RNAcentral lists this ribosomal RNA (720 nucleotides) under Pseudomonas koreensis. RNAcentral's name for it is "bacterial SSU rRNA". It matches the Rfam family "Bacterial small subunit ribosomal RNA", at positions 8 to 728 of the family's 1533-position model. The record is from RNAcentral. Lineage: Bacteria; Pseudomonadati; Pseudomonadota; Gammaproteobacteria; Pseudomonadales; Pseudomonadaceae.